ACACUCCUACGGGAGGCAGCAGUAGGGAAUCUUCGGCAAUGGGGGCAACCCUGACCGAGCAACGCCGCGUGAGUGAAGAAGGUUUUCGGAUCGUAAAGCUCUGUUGUAAGUCAAGAACGAGUGUGAGAGUGGAAAGUUCACACUGUGACGGUAGCUUACCAGAAAGGGACGGCUAACUACGUGCCAGCAGCCGCGGUAAUACGUAGGUCCCGAGCGUUGUCCGGAUUUAUUGGGCGUAAAGCGAGCGCAGGCGGUUUGAUAAGUCUGAAGUUAAAGGCUGUGGCUCAACCAUAGUUCGCUUUGGAAACUGUCAAACUUGAGUGCAGAAGGGGAGAGUGGAAUUCCAUGUGUAGCGGUGAAAUGCGUAGAUAUAUGGAGGAACACCGGUGGCGAAAGCGGCUCUCUGGUCUGUAACUGACGCUGAGGCUCGAAAGCGUGGGGAGCGAACAGGAUUAGAUACCCCUGUAGUCCCAUGA
RNAcentral lists this ribosomal RNA (476 nucleotides) under uncultured organism. RNAcentral describes it as "partial 16S ribosomal RNA". It matches the Rfam family "Bacterial small subunit ribosomal RNA", at positions 333 to 800 of the family's 1533-position model. The record is from RNAcentral.